GGGGAUUUAGCUCAGCGGUAGAGCGCUUGCCUAGCGAGCGCAAGGCCCUGGGUUCGAUCCCCAGCUCCG
Rattus norvegicus (Norway rat) is the source of this 69-nucleotide non-coding RNA. The record is from Rfam. NCBI's taxonomy places the organism in Eukaryota, Metazoa, Chordata, Mammalia, Rodentia, Muridae.